CUACGGGUCGCUCCAGUGGGGAAUAUUGCACAAUGGGGGGAACCCUGAUGCAGCAACGCCGCGUGGAGGAUGACGCAUUUCGGUGUGUAAACUCCUUUUAUAUGUCAAGAAAAUGACGGUAGCAUAUGAAUAAGCACCGGCUAACUCCGUGCCAGCAGCCGCGGUAAUACGGAGGAUGCAGGCGUUACUCGGAAUCACUGGGCGUAAAGGACGCGUAGGCGGGUUGGAAAGUCAGGUGUGAAAUCCUACAGCUUAACUGUAGAACUGCACUUGAAACUUCUAAUCUAGAGUAUGGGAGGGGGAGAUGGAAUUAGUGGUGUAGGGGUAAAAUCCGUAGAUAUCACUAGGAAUACCUAAAGCGAAGGCGAUCUCCUGGAACAUUACUGACGCUAAGGCGUGAAAGCGUGGGGAGCAAACAGGAUUAGAUACCCUAGUAGUC
RNAcentral lists this ribosomal RNA (439 nucleotides) under uncultured bacterium. Its description in RNAcentral is "partial 16S ribosomal RNA". It matches the Rfam family "Bacterial small subunit ribosomal RNA", at positions 339 to 795 of the family's 1533-position model. The record is from RNAcentral.